AGGACGAACGCUGGCGGCGUGCUUAACACAUGCAAGUGGAGCGACGAACCAGGGCUUGCCCUGGGGCAGAGCCGCGAACGGGUGAGUAACACGUGGGUAACGUGCCCCGAUGACUGGGACAACCCGGGGAAACCCGGGCUAAUACCGGAUAUGCCCCCUCACGCGAGUGAGGUGUGUAAAGGAGCUUCGGCCUCCGCAUCGGGAUCGGCCCGCGGCCCAUUAGCUUGUUGGUGAGGUAACGGCUCACCAAGGCUGCGAUGGGUAGCUGGUCUGAGAGGACGAUCAGCCACACUGGGACUGAGACACGGCCCAGACUCCUACGGAAGGCAGCAGUGGGAAUCUUGCGCAAUGCGCGAAAGCGUGACGCAGCAACGCCGCGUGGGGGAAGAAGGCCUUCGGUUGUAAACCCUUUCAGUUGGACGAAGUGUGGCGGUGAACAGCCGUUCUGCAUGACGUACUUCACAAGAAGCCCGACUAACUACGUGCCAGCAGCCG
Molecule: ribosomal RNA, 495 nt
Filed under: uncultured soil bacterium
Lineage: Bacteria
Description: bacterial SSU rRNA
Rfam family: Bacterial small subunit ribosomal RNA
Source: RNAcentral